UUGCGUGCGAUCGUAUGUUCGCUCCCUGCCCCCCAUUUCUUCCUCAGUUUGGACGACAAACAGACCGACCACCUCCCUGUACAAGCAAUUUAACACCUGCUGAAGAAUUCAUGGCUUAUCUGCAUAGAAAGACAGAGUUCAGCAGCGUUUAGACAAAAAAAUACUGCAUUGAGAGUGAAGUUCCAUGGCCAGACUUAAGGUGGCAGCAGCGAAUAGAUCAUCAGUCAACUCCUCAUCAGUCAUCAAGUCCCCUUAGAUUGGUAAAAUGUGAAUUUUUAUGCGUGUGAACCAAAACAGACCAGGCACUGGAUAAGAUGAAUGGAGAAGGACUUCAAGUUAUAUUAAAGGCAUAGUUCACCC
Puntigrus tetrazona (Sumatra barb) is the source of this 360-nucleotide long non-coding RNA. RefSeq lists it as uncharacterized. The transcript has 3 exons. NCBI's taxonomy places the organism in Eukaryota, Metazoa, Chordata, Actinopteri, Cypriniformes, Cyprinidae. The record is from RefSeq and is a predicted model, not a curated record.